GCCCCAUUCGAACGACAAGUUCGACCGAGGGUUUGAAACCCUAACGAAUCGAGGACGUAAAAGAAAUAGCAACCCGUUUGGAUCUGUCAUCUCUGAUCGUGUCGUUCGCCUCGAUGAGAUAAAAGAACUUUACAGCUUUCGAUAAAUUAAGGCGAAAUUGUCGGAGGUAAUGGAACACAUCAUAAGUACCGUUUCCAGAGUCUGAGGUUGCCUUUGUGACUAUGGCCAAUUGUCGGAUGUGAAAUGAAAUGCGGCUGCAGAGCACAGAUCGGACAUGAAGCAUGUAAAUCUUCAAGUAAAGAAAUCCAUACCGAUCUGGAAAAGCAAUAUACAGCUGGGCUUCGGCGAAGAGAUGGUCGAACUUGGUUUGUAAUGACAUCAAUUUUCUCUCCUCUUUUCAAAUGCAUCACAGACGUGUGGUGAAAAACUUGGCAAGCUUGCUUUCCAUUGUGCAAGAACAGUUUCAUGCUUGCUUGUAAGCCACUGUUAUUCCAUCAGAUUUUAAUGGAAAGUUACUUGCGUUGAGUA
This is a long non-coding RNA of Musa acuminata AAA Group (dessert banana), 528 nucleotides long. RefSeq lists it as uncharacterized. The record is from RefSeq and is a predicted model, not a curated record. NCBI's taxonomy places the organism in Eukaryota, Viridiplantae, Streptophyta, Magnoliopsida, Zingiberales, Musaceae. The transcript is spliced from 2 exons.